RNAcentral lists this ribosomal RNA (523 nucleotides) under uncultured bacterium. Its description in RNAcentral is "bacterial SSU rRNA". It matches the Rfam family "Bacterial small subunit ribosomal RNA", at positions 144 to 661 of the family's 1533-position model. The record is from RNAcentral.
UAGCCCGGCGAAAGCCGGAUUAAUACCGCAUACGACCUACGGGUGAAAGGGGGGGAUCGCAAGACCUCUCGCUAUUGGAGCGGCCGAUGUCAGAUUAGGUAGUUGGUGGGGUAAAGGCCUACCAAGCCGACGAUCUGUAGCUGGUCUGAGAGGACGACCAGCCACACUGGGACUGAGACACGGCCCAGACUCCUACGGGAGGCAGCAGUGGGGAAUUUUGGACAAUGGGCGCAAGCCUGAUCCAGCCAUGCCGCGUGCGGGAAGAAGGCCUUCGGGUUGUAAACCGCUUUUGUCAGGGAAGAAAUCUUCUGGGUUAAUACCUCGGGAGGAUGACGGUACCUGAAGAAUAAGCACCGGCUAACUACGUGCCAGCAGCCGCGGUAAUACGUAGGGUGCAAGCGUUAAUCGGAAUUACUGGGCGUAAAGCGUGCGCAGGCGGUUUUGUAAGACAGAGGUGAAAUCCCCGGGCUUAACCUGGGAACUGCCUUUUGUGACUGCAAAGCUUGAGUGCGGCAGAGGGGGU